Molecule: ribosomal RNA, 526 nt
Filed under: uncultured delta proteobacterium
Lineage: Bacteria; Deltaproteobacteria
Description: bacterial SSU rRNA
Rfam family: Bacterial small subunit ribosomal RNA
Source: RNAcentral
ACGCCGCGUGUGUGAUGAAGGUUUUCGGAUCGUAAAGCACUUUCGACCGGGACGAAAAACCUCUGGCUAACAUCCAGGGGCCUGACGGUACCGGGAGAAGAAGCACCGGCUAACUCUGUGCCAGCAGCCGCGGUAAUACAGAGGGUGCAAGCGUUGUUCGGAAUUAUUGGGCGUAGAGCGCGUGUAGGCGGCUUGGCAAGUCAGAUGUGAAAGCCCUCGGCUUAACCGAGGAAGUGCGUCUGAAACUGCUGAGCUUGAGUGUCGGAGAGGAUGGCGGAAUUCCGCAAGUAGAGGUGAAAUUCGUAGAUAUGCGGAGGAACACCGGUGGCGAAGGCGGCCAUCUGGACGACUACUGACGCUGAGACGCGAAAGCGUGGGGAGCAAACAGGAUUAGAUACCCUGGUAGUCCACGCUGUAAACGAUGAGAACUAGGUGUCGUGGGUGUUGACCCCCGCGGUGCCGCAGCUAACGCAUUAAGUUCUCCGCCUGGGAAGUACGGCCGCAAGGCUAAAACUCAAAGGAAUUG